CCAUAUACACGAGAGCGCAUAGCGCAAUGAUGAGGACCUUCAUGUUGCUACUUCGGAGGCUGCAAUCAGACUGACGAUAUCCCGAUGUACUCUGCUUUG
Molecule: long non-coding RNA, 99 nt
Organism: Priapulus caudatus
Lineage: Eukaryota; Metazoa; Priapulida; Priapulimorpha; Priapulimorphida; Priapulidae
Exons: 3
Source: RefSeq, a predicted model, not a curated record